UACGUAGGGGGCAAGCGUUGUCCGGAAUUAUUGGGCGUAAAGCGCGCGCAGGCGGUCAUUUAAGUCUGGUGUUUAAACCUUGGGCUCAACCUGGGGUCGCACUGGAAACUGGGUGACUUGAGUACAGAAGAGGAAAGUGGAAUUCCACGUGUAGCGGUGAAAUGCGUAGAUAUGUGGAGGAACACCAGUGGCGAAGGCGACUUUCUGGGCUGUAACUGACGCUGAGGCGCGAAAGCGUGGGGAGCAAACA
RNAcentral lists this ribosomal RNA (250 nucleotides) under uncultured bacterium. RNAcentral's name for it is "partial 16S ribosomal RNA". It matches the Rfam family "Bacterial small subunit ribosomal RNA", at positions 524 to 774 of the family's 1533-position model. The record is from RNAcentral.